CUGUUGACCACAGUAACUCAUAUGCCAGGUACAAUAAGAACAUGUCAGAAGUUCCUAAUUCGGUACAACAGGAGACAGCUGUUGAUCUUGUUGCAGAACUGCACUGAUGAAGGUAAGCAACACUAGCCCAGUGCCCACUGAGCAGUGACUGACCUUAAGCUGAAGAAAUCACUCCCAAAGACAUCUUUCAUCCCUGUUAUCUGCCUUCUCCAGGAGAGCGGGAAGCUAUCCAGAAAUCUGUGACAAGAAGCUGCUUACUAGAGGAGGAGGAGUCAGGUGAGGAGGCUGCAGAAGCAAUGGAGUGAACCUCUGCUCCCCACACAGCUGGCUACACUGCUCAGGCUUCAGGCCCACUUGUUGAACAGAACAAUUUGGGUAGCAACAGCAUCUUCCACAGUUUUCCAAACUGGAUAGCUGCCAACCAGCGCACAUUACCCACUUGGAGUACUCAGUUAAACUAAAGUUGCCUUUACCUAGCAUUCCCUGGUGAAGUGUUGCAGGUUGUGAACUCUGUAGACAUCUUUAUUGCUUGGCUAAGAGUAGACUUAAUAAAUGUAUCUGGUUCCCGUG
RNAcentral lists this small RNA (570 nucleotides) under Pongo abelii (Sumatran orangutan). Its description in RNAcentral is "retained intron". Lineage: Eukaryota; Metazoa; Chordata; Mammalia; Primates; Hominidae. The record is from RNAcentral.